This 915-nucleotide ribosomal RNA is filed under the name Legionella pneumophila. RNAcentral's name for it is "partial 23S ribosomal RNA". It matches the Rfam family "Bacterial large subunit ribosomal RNA", at positions 1 to 963 of the family's 2925-position model. Lineage: Bacteria; Pseudomonadati; Pseudomonadota; Gammaproteobacteria; Legionellales; Legionellaceae. The record is from RNAcentral.
AGAGAAGCGCAAACGGUGGAUGCCUUGGCAGUAAGAGGCGAAGAAGGACGUGGAAUCCUGCGAAAAGCUAUGGGGAGCUGGAAACGAGCGUUGAGCCAUAGAUGUCCGAAUGGGGGAACCCGGCUGCAGCGAUGCGGUCAUUUGCAUUUGAAUACAUAGGAUGCAAAGGCGAACUCGGGGAACUGAAACAUCUAAGUACCCGAAGGAAAAGAAAUCAAGAGAGAUUCUCCAAGUAGCGGCGAGCGAACGGGGAGGAGCCUGGCGUGAUUUAUUAUUGAACUGAGUAGAACAAUUUGGGAAAGUUGGCCGUAGAGGGUGAAAGCCCCGUAUACGAAGGUUUGAUGAGGAACUAGGCACGCGAACAAGUAGGCCGGGACACGUGAAAUCCUGGUUGAAGAUGGGUGGACCAUCAUCCAAGGCUAAAUACUACUUACUGACCGAUAGUGAACCAGUACCGUGAGGGAAAGGUGAAAAGAACCCCGGAGAGGGGAGUGAAAUAGAAUCUGAAACCGUUUGCGUACAAGCAGUGGGAGCAUAGUUUAGGCUGUGUGACUGCGUACCUUUUGUAUAAUGGGUCAGCGAGUUACUUUCAGUGGCGAGGUUAACUGAAUAAGGGAGCCGUAGAGAAAUCGAGUCUGAAUAGGGCGAUAGUCGCUGGGAGUAGACCCGAAACCGGGCGAUCUAGCCAUGUGCAGGAUGAAGGUUGGGUAACACCAACUGGAGGUCCGAACCGGGUAAUGUUGAAAAAUUAUCGGAUGACGUGUGGCUAGGAGUGAAAGGCUAAUCAAGCCCGGAGAUAGCUGGUUCUCCCCGAAAGCUAUUUAGGUAGCGCCUCGUGAAUGAUUACUGGGGGUAGAGCACUGUUUCGGCUAGGGGGCUGUCAUGGCUUACCAAACCGAUGCAAACUCCGAAUAC